Oryzias melastigma (Indian medaka) is the source of this 680-nucleotide long non-coding RNA. RefSeq lists it as uncharacterized. Lineage: Eukaryota; Metazoa; Chordata; Actinopteri; Beloniformes; Adrianichthyidae. The transcript has 4 exons. The record is from RefSeq and is a predicted model, not a curated record.
UGAUCCAAAACAGUUUUCCCUUGAGGCGGAUUUUCUGAAGGGCAAGGCUGACCUUCUCAUCUAUUUCCUCAAACUAGAAGACAGCACGACUUAUGAGUGUACUUCCCAGAUUCGAGGGGAUACAACAGGCAAGAAUGUGGAUACAACAAAUUUGGUGGUUUUGGCUGCUCCAUCUACACCCAUCUGUGAGGUGCAGGGAAUGCCUCAGUUUGGCCAGAACAUCCAUCUCAUCUGUUUUUCUGAAGAAGCUUUUUCCCGCUCCCCAAUACAAAUGGCAAAGUCAUGAUGUUCAGAACAAUCUUCGUCCUCUAGACCCUUCAUCUGUUGCCGAUGGAGGAGUUUUGAGUCUUUUUGGCAUCACCACAGACACAUCAGGAACCUAUACCUGCACAUCCAGCAAUAGAGUUGGCUCUGCUUCAUGCAGUCUGACGCUCUCAGUCAGACCGUAGAUGGUGAUGAGUUCAGUGACAAAAACCCAAACAAGAACGAUGGAAAUCGCCGUCCUGACGGAGAAGAGAGCUCACAGUAAUAUUGUGAUUUCAAAGAGCGCCUCAUUGAUUGACGGGAUCAAUGUGAUGAAAGGACAGAGCGUUGUGACUCUGACCAAUGCAGUGAUUACAAAGACACAUUUUAACAUUUCAAAUGAAUCACCAGAAAAAAUAAAGCUUUUUCUUUCUCUU